GAAUAUUGCACAAUGGAGGAAACUCUGAUGCAGCGACGCCGCGUGAAUGACGAAGGCCUUCGGGUCGUAAAAUUCUGCCCUUGGGGACGAUAAUGACGGUACCCAAGGAGGAAGCCCCGGCUAACUACGUGCCAGCAGCCGCGGUAAUACGUAGGGGGCGAGCGUUGUCCGGAAUUAUUGGGCGUAAAGGGUUCGCAGGCGGUCUUUUAAGUCAGAUGUUAAAUGCAUAGGCUCAACCUAUGAGUGCAUUUGAAACUGGAAGACUUGAGUUAAGGAGAAGAAAGUGGAAUUCCUAGUGUAGCGGUGAAAUGCGUAGAUAUUAGGAGGAAUACCAGUGGCGAAGGCGACUUUCUGGACUUUUUCUGACGCUGAGGAACGAAAGCAUGGGGAGCAAACA
This 397-nucleotide ribosomal RNA is filed under the name uncultured bacterium. RNAcentral's name for it is "partial 16S ribosomal RNA". It matches the Rfam family "Bacterial small subunit ribosomal RNA", at positions 359 to 774 of the family's 1533-position model. The record is from RNAcentral.